UACGAAGGGGGCUAGCGUUGCUCGGAAUCACUGGGCGUAAAGCGCACGUAGGCGGAUUGUUAAGUCAGGGGUGAAAUCCUGGAGCUCAACUCCAGAACUGCCUUUGAUACUGGCGAUCUUGAGUCCGGGAGAGGUAAGUGGAACUGCGAGUGUAGAGGUGAAAUUCGUAGAUAUUCGCAAGAACACCAGUGGCGAAGGCGGCUCACUGGCCCGGUACUGACGCUGAGGUGCGAAAGCGUGGGGAGCAAACAGG
Molecule: ribosomal RNA, 253 nt
Filed under: uncultured bacterium
Lineage: Bacteria
Description: partial 16S ribosomal RNA
Rfam family: Bacterial small subunit ribosomal RNA
Source: RNAcentral